GGUAAAAAAGCUCGCAGUUGGAUUUCUGUCGAGGACGGCCGGUCCAUACAAUGUAUGUGCAUCUGGCUCGGCUUCGGCAUCCUCUCGAUACACGUUUCUGUGCUUGAUUGCAUGGAGCGGGGCUCGGGACUUUUACUUUGAGGAAAUUAGAGUGUUCACGGCAGGCUAUCGCCAGAAUACAUUAGCAUGGAAUAAUACUAUAGGAUCUCGGUUCUAUUUUGUUGGUUUCUAGAAUUGGGAUAAUGAUUAAUAGGGACAAUUGGGGGCAUUCGUAUCAAGGCGUCAGAGGUGGAAUUCUUGGAUUGCCUUGCGACGAACUACUGCGAAAGCAUUUGCCAAGGAUGUUUUCAUUGAUCAAGAACGAAAGUAAGGGGAUCGAAGACGAUUAGAUACCGUCGUAGUCUUUACCACAAACUAUGCCGACUAGAGAUGGGACAUCGUUCUUUUACGACUUGUUCCGCACCUUAUGAGAUAUCAAAGUUUUUGGGUUCCGGGGGGAGUAUGAUCGCGAGAUUGGAACUUAAAGGAAUUGACGGAAGGGCACCACCAGGAGUGGAACCUU
Molecule: ribosomal RNA, 562 nt
Filed under: uncultured marine eukaryote
Lineage: Eukaryota
Description: SSU rRNA
Rfam family: Eukaryotic small subunit ribosomal RNA
Source: RNAcentral